This 450-nucleotide ribosomal RNA is filed under the name uncultured bacterium. RNAcentral's name for it is "partial 16S ribosomal RNA". It matches the Rfam family "Bacterial small subunit ribosomal RNA", at positions 354 to 796 of the family's 1533-position model. The record is from RNAcentral.
GUGGGGAAUAUUCCGCAAUGGACGAAAGUCUGACGGAGCAACGCCGCGUGAGUGAUGAAGGUCUUCGGAUUGUAAAGCUCUGUUAAUCGGGACGAAAGAGCCUAGUGUGAAUAAUGCUAGGAAGUGACGGUACCGGAAUAGAAAGCCACGGCUAACUACGUGCCAGCAGCCGCGGUAAUACGUAGGUGGCAAGCGUUGUCCGGAAUUAUUGGGCGUAAAGCGCGCGCAGGCGGAUCUGCCAGUCUGUCUUAAAAGUUCGGGGCUUAACCCCGUGAUGGGAUGGAAACUACAGAUCUAGAGUAUCGGAGAGGAAAGUGGAAUUCCUAGUGUAGCGGUGAAAUGCGUAGAUAUUAGGAAGAACACCAGUGGCGAAGGCGACUUUCUGGACGAAAACUGACGCUGAGGCGCGAAAGCCAGGGGAGCGAACGGGAUUAGAUACCCUGGUAGUCC